RNAcentral lists this ribosomal RNA (468 nucleotides) under uncultured bacterium. RNAcentral's name for it is "bacterial SSU rRNA". It matches the Rfam family "Bacterial small subunit ribosomal RNA", at positions 46 to 494 of the family's 1533-position model. The record is from RNAcentral.
GCCUAAUACAUGCAAGUCGAGCGAAUGGAUUAAGAGCUUGCUCUUAUGAAGUUAGCGGCGGACGGGUGAGUAACACGUGGGUAACCUGCCCAUAANACUGGGAUAACUCCGGGAAACCGGGGCUAAUACCGGAUAACAUUUUGAACCGCAUGGUUCGAAAUUGAAAGGCGGCUUCGGCUGUCACUUAUGGAUGGACCCGCGUCGCAUUAGCUAGUUGGUGAGGUAACGGCUCACCAAGGCAACGAUGCGUAGCCGACCUGACAGGGUGAUCGGCCACACUGGGACUGAGACACGGCCCAGACUCCUACGGGAGGCAGCAGUAGGGAAUCUUCCGCAAUGGACGAAAGUCUGACGGAGCAACGCCGCGUGAGUGAUGAAGGCUUUCGGGUCGUAAAACUCUGUUGUUAAGGAAGAACAAGUGCUAGUUGAAUAAGCUGGCACCUUGACGGUACCUAACCAGAAAGCCAC